UCAUACGUAGGACCCAAGCGUUAUCCGGAUUGACUGGGCGUAAAGAGUUGCGUAGGUGGUUUAUUAAGCGAAUAGUGAAAUCUUGGGGCUCAACCUUAAGGCUAUUAUUUGAACUGGUAGACUCGAGAGUAGGAGAGGCAUCUGGAAUUUUUAGUGUAGGGGUAAAAUCCGUAGAUACUAGAAGGAACACCAAUGGCGUAGGCAGGAUGCUGGCCUAUUUCUGACACUGAGGCACGAAAGCGUGGGGAGCGAACCGGAUUAGAUACCCGGGUAGUCCACGCCGUAAACGAUGAAUACUAGCUGUAUGCCGUAUCGACCCGGUAUGUAGCGAAGCUAACGCGUUAAGUAUUCCGCCUGGGGAGUACGGUCGCAAGACUA
RNAcentral lists this ribosomal RNA (378 nucleotides) under uncultured bacterium. RNAcentral's name for it is "bacterial SSU rRNA". It matches the Rfam family "Bacterial small subunit ribosomal RNA", at positions 521 to 896 of the family's 1533-position model. The record is from RNAcentral.